CUACUUAUUCCGCGUAGGAUAUAAAUAAUAAGCUCGUAUGUAAAUAUAAACUAAAUUUUUUCGCCCUCUUUUUUUUCCUGCGGCAAGGAAACCUACAGUACUUUCUUGCUCGUCUUCGAAAUUCUCCCAAUAUCUCUGGGAAACCGUCAGCAUCUCGUGGAUUUCAUCCUGGUUAGAAUUUCAUCGGGGAGGAUUCGAGAUCGGUUGUUUGAUUUUCUAUUGCAGAUUUAGGCUUUGAUUGGUGAUUUGAGAUUGGCAUCUUCCUUUGGAGAAGAGUCUAGAAGCCGGCGACCAUGUUUGCUCGUCUUUUCGGGAAGCCCAAGGAGCAGACCAAUGCUCUGGCGACACUUGACAAGUUAAAUGAG
Long non-coding RNA from Dendrobium catenatum, 365 nucleotides. RefSeq lists it as uncharacterized. The transcript is spliced from 2 exons. The record is from RefSeq and is a predicted model, not a curated record. NCBI's taxonomy places the organism in Eukaryota, Viridiplantae, Streptophyta, Magnoliopsida, Asparagales, Orchidaceae.